CGACCCUGCGUGGGAGAGUCCUCGGGGUGGGCCACCACCUGCGAGGCGCCGAAGGGGCAACAUCCCCGGAACCUCUCAGGCGCCAGGACCACGCGGGUGAG
This 101-nucleotide non-coding RNA is filed under the name Intrasporangium oryzae. RNAcentral describes it as "Glycine sequence". It matches the Rfam family "Glycine riboswitch aptamer". From Rfam's summary of the family: This family represents the bacterial glycine riboswitch. Glycine riboswitches usually consist of two metabolite-binding aptamers domains with similar structures in tandem. The record is from RNAcentral. Lineage: Bacteria; Bacillati; Actinomycetota; Actinomycetes; Micrococcales; Intrasporangiaceae. RNAcentral also lists the same sequence under 1 other name.